AUUGAACGCUGGCGGCAUGCCUUACACAUGCAAGUCGAACGGUAACAGGUCUUCGGAUGCUGACGAGUGGCGAACGGGUGAGUAAUACAUCGGAACGUGCCUAGUAGUGGGGGAUAACUACUCGAAAGAGUGGCUAAUACCGCAUGAGAUCUACGGAUGAAAGCAGGGGAUCGCAAGACCUUGUGCUACUAGAGCGGCCGAGGGCAGAUUAGGUAGUUGGUGGGAUAAAAGCUUACCAAGCCGACGAUCUGUAGCUGGUCUGAGAGGACGAUCAGCCACACUGGGACUGAGAAACGGCCCAGACUCCUACGGGAGGCAGCAGUGGGGAAUCUUGGACAAUGGGCGCAAGUCUGAUCCAGCAAUGCCGCGUGCAGGAUGAAGGCCUUCGGGUUGUAAACUGCUUUUGUACGGAACGAAAAGCCCCGGGUUAAUACCCUGGGGUCAUGACGGUAUCGUAAGAAUAAGCACCGGCUAACUACGUGCCAGCAGCCGCCGCGG
Molecule: ribosomal RNA, 498 nt
Filed under: uncultured bacterium
Lineage: Bacteria
Description: partial 16S ribosomal RNA
Rfam family: Bacterial small subunit ribosomal RNA
Source: RNAcentral